UUUUGAAUAGCUCAUUUGGUUAGAGCAAUCGAUUAUCACUCGAUUGGUAACAGGUUCGAGUCCUGUUUCAAAACCUA
Molecule: transfer RNA, 77 nt
Filed under: Gilliamella sp. wkB108
Lineage: Bacteria; Pseudomonadati; Pseudomonadota; Gammaproteobacteria; Orbales; Orbaceae
Description: tRNA-Asp
Rfam family: tRNA
About the family: Transfer RNA (tRNA) molecules are approximately 80 nucleotides in length. Their secondary structure includes four short double-helical elements and three loops (D, anti-codon, and T loops).
Source: RNAcentral